RNAcentral lists this ribosomal RNA (433 nucleotides) under uncultured bacterium. Its description in RNAcentral is "partial 16S ribosomal RNA". It matches the Rfam family "Bacterial small subunit ribosomal RNA", at positions 29 to 507 of the family's 1533-position model. The record is from RNAcentral.
AACGAACGCUGGCGGCAUGCCUAACACAUGCAAGUCGAACGAGACCUUCGGGUCUUUUGGCGCACGGGUGCGCAACGCGUGGGAACCUGCCCUUAGGUUCGGAAUAACUCCCCGAAAGGGGUGCUAAUACCGGAUAAUGUCUUCGGACCAAAGAUUUAUCGCCUUUGGAUGUGCCCGCGUUGGAUUAGCUAGUUGGUAGGGUAAAAGCAUACCAAGGCGACGAUUCAUAGCUGGUUUGAGAGGAUGAUCAGCCACACUGGGACUGAGACGCGGCCCAGACUCCUACGGGAGGGAGCAGUGGGGAAUAUUGGAAAAUGGGCGAAAGCCUGAUCCAGCAAUGCCGCGUGAGUUAUGAAGGCCUUAGGGUUGUAAAGCUCUUUUACCCGGGAUGAUAAUGACAGUACCGGGAGAAUAAGCCCCGGCUAACUACGUG